Long non-coding RNA from Pomacea canaliculata, 568 nucleotides. RefSeq lists it as uncharacterized. Lineage: Eukaryota; Metazoa; Mollusca; Gastropoda; Architaenioglossa; Ampullariidae. The transcript has 3 exons. The record is from RefSeq and is a predicted model, not a curated record.
CUUGCCACACAACUGGAAACAGGGAAAAUUUGAUGUGCUUCUUAUUCACCGACAUUACGGUCUUGUCGUCUGCAUGUGAUGUCGUUCGGUGACAUUACAAACGACCAUAAAAUGUCACAGGAGGAUAUUGUCAAGACCAUCAGAAAGAAGCUGAGAGACGCCGUGUCACAGCUGAACAAAGCGGAGGCAUGUUGUCUCACUGGUGUCUGAUGUCUGUCCGGUCUGCGCAAUCACCAAGACCAUCGCCGUCCCUAACCUCACGACUGACCAGGUACAGCAGGCCAUCUCUCACGACUCACAACUCAUUGAGGACCUGCACUGCUGUCUAAAAACUACUGACCCCGCCGACAUCGCUGGUGUGUGUCUGUGCUGUGAUCAGUUGUCUGACCCCAAGACCCCGUGUGACGUCAGGAGUCACGUGUUAAAGGAACUCGGCAAAUGGUGGACACGACGUGUGGCUGUGUCUGGGCCUGACAGUCACAUGACACGUCACGUGUACAAGACACUAGUAGCACGGUUCUGUGGUCCGGCGACAACAGUGACUAUGCCAUGCACAUGUCCUCCACGU